This 43519-nucleotide long non-coding RNA is filed under the name Brassica rapa (field mustard). Its description in RNAcentral is "long non-coding RNA (BRAP_LNC003810)". Lineage: Eukaryota; Viridiplantae; Streptophyta; Magnoliopsida; Brassicales; Brassicaceae. The record is from RNAcentral.
CAGACCAGAAGUUCACAAUACUCAUUAGAACAGAUUUAAUCAGCAUAAGUCUUCCUGCAUAAGAGAGAAACCUUGUGGUCCAAGUGUUAAUUCGCCCUCUUAUCUUCUCCACAAGCGGCUGAUAAUCCUGACUUCUCAUUGCCUGAGACAUUAAGGGUAACCCUAAGUAUCUUACUGGCAAAUCCCCUACAGCAAAAGGGAAAUCUGAUAAUAUAUGACUCUUCUCCUCCACCGGAACCCCCGCCAUGUAGAUAGUUGAUUUCUCCAAACUGAUUUUCAAUCCUGACCAAGCAGCAAACUCGUCAAACACUGCCAAUGCACCUUCAAUCGAAUCUUUAGAACCCUCCACAAACACCAUCAAAUCAUCAGCGAAACAUAGGUGAGUCAACGAGAGAGAAUGACACCUGGGAUGAAACUUGAACUUCCUCUCAGUAGCCGCUUUGUCUAUCUUCUUUGAUAAGAUAUUCAUACAAAGCACAAAGAGAUAGGGAGAUAGUGAGCAACCCUGUCUCAAUCCCCUUGCACUUUGGAAGUAGCCAGCUAAGUCUCCGUUUACCUGAACUGAGAAAGAAGGACUCGUGAUACACAAGCGGAUCCAGUGCACAAAUUUACUCGGGAAACCCAAAACCUCCAACCCCUUAAGAACAAAAUCCCACUGAACCGAGUCGAACGCUUUUGAAAUGUCAAUUUUCAUCACACACCUUGAAGAAACUGAAAGCUUAUGAUAAUCUCUCACCAAUUCAGAAGCCAAAAGCACAUUCUCCAUAAGCAAUCUCCCUUUGACAAAGGCGGACUGAUUCUCACUAACAAUUCUUGGUAACACCCGCUUCAAUCUGUUAGCCAAAAUCUUCGAAACAACCUUGUAUAAGACAUUACAACACGAAAUCGGUCGAAAGUCUUUCAUCUCCAUUGAGUCAAUCUUCUUUGGGAUCAAAGCAAGGAUCGUGGAAUUCACACCUUUUGGAGGAAACCAUAUUUGAAAACAGACUGAACCGCCACCACGAAAUCCUGACCAAGAACUGCCCAAGUAGCUUUAAAAAAUUCACAGGGGAAUCCAUCAGGCCCAGGGGAUUUGUUACUUGGCAUAGCAAAUAAUACCUUUUGAACCUCAUCACUCGUUACCUCAGCCUCCAACAUAUCACAAUCCUCCAUGGUGCAGCGAAACUCUAAAAGAUCACGAAGCUCGUCCUCCGUAGCACCAACAUACUCUGAUGGCUUCAUAUUCAUAAACUCAGAGAAGAAACGCUCCGCUUCUUGUUUGAUAUCCUCAUGUUUGGUAAUAAUACUACCAUUCAAACACCUUAUCUCACGAAUCAAGUUCUGAGCAUACCGACUUCUAAUAGCAUUGUGGAAGGUCUUAUUAUUCUGAUCUCCAAUCUCCAACCAGUGCAGCUUUGCCCUCUGUUUAAGAAAAUCCUCUUCCAGACUUGCAAUAUGCAACCAUUUCUCAUACGCUACCGCCUCUUCUUGAGCUGCACCUUCACAAGGGUUUGCUAAAGUGCUUCGCUGCUUAUCACAUAGAUUCUCAUGAGCCUCUUUAGCACGCUUAGUUAAAUUUCCUAGCCCUUUACGCCCCAGCUCUCUAAUAUGCGGCUUCAGAUUCUUCAAUUUCUUGGAGAACCUAUACAUAGCAGAGGUGGAGUGAAAUAAAACCUCGGUAGACUGCCAAUACUCCUCAAUCAUGGGCUGAAAACCUGAUAACCUUCCAACUGCAUUUACAUACUUGAAAGGACGUCUAAUCUGUUCUUGAGGCGGCCACAACUGAAUCAUACAUCGCAUAUGAUCCGAACAUCCUCCCGGUUCAAAAACAGAGUAAGCUGUAGAAAAUUUUAGCAAAGCAGCAUCAUUCAUAAGAACUCGAUCAAGUUUCUUACAGAUAAUCCCCUCAUCUUGCUUAUUACUCCAAGUAAAUCGAGGUCCUUGGUAACCCAGAUCAGACAGAUGACAAUGCAAUGCCAUACGCUGAAAGUCUCUCAUUCCCCUAGGUAGCCUUUCUAACCUUGAAAAUCUUGAAUUCUCCUCCUCAUCCAAGAUCUCAUUAAAAUCUCCCAUUAUCAUCCACUCCUUAUUUUUAAACAUAGCCGAAUCAUGAUGGUUGCAAAGAUCAUCCCACAACUCUUUCCUUCCUUCCACCUGAUUACUAGCAUAGACGAAAGUACACAAAAACUCUUCUUUAUUCUCUACCCCCACUGAGCACGUUAUCAGUUGGUCUGACUUAUACACAGGAGUCAUACGAACCUCAUCCCUCCAUAAAACCCAAAUACGACCUCCACUACUACACUCAUAGUUCAUCAUACUCGACCAACCUUUAAAAACCUCCUUUAUUAUUCUUUCUGCUUUACUUUCCUUCACCCUUGUUUCCAAUAUGCACCCAAAUUUCACCUCAUUAUUACUAAUCCACUCCUUGACUACAGAUUGCUUUAACGGCUUGUUGAAACCUCUCACAUUCCAAAAGAAGCUCGCCAUAUCAGUAUUUUCGUCGAGAAGACCUCUUUCCCUUCGGAUUUACAUCCGGAGCUUUAGUCUUCUGAGCAUUCCUCACCCCUUUUUGUGGCAUCACCUUUUCCUUACUCCUACUCUGUUGAGCAAGAAUAGUAUCCUCAAGAUGAUCCGCCUCUGAAACCUUUAUAUCAUCAUCCACCUCCAAGAUAUCCUCUUCAGUCUCAUCCUUCUCCCCUACCUCCUCUAAUUGAAUUUCACCUUCUUCCAUCUUUUCAGCCUCAUCCAUACUUAGAACCGAGAACUUGGAAGUCGAAACCUGAAUAUCAGGGGCUUGCUUUGGUGAUUGAGUCCUCCCAACUUUCGUUGGUGAAACUAAAGACCAAGCAGAACCUCCAAUAUCUUUUUUUCCUACUUCCUCAUUCUUUUCCACAACUUCUUUUUCCCUCUCCUCCUCUCCUCCUCCUUGGAUAUCCUCAUUAUUUUCUUUCACAUCUACUUUAGUCUUUUCCCCACUACCUCCCUGAACAUCAGCUUCCUCAUUUUCCCUUCUCUUGUCUUUACCAUUCUUAACACAAAUCUUAUCUGUAUGGCCCCAUUUCCCGCAAAGAUUGCAUUUCGAUGGAAACCAUGGGUAAUGAAACUCCACUGUGAACUCCUUCCCAUCUUUAGUGAAAUCAACUUCCUUCGGCAAAGUCUUUGAUACAUCCACAUUCACAAAAACUUUAGCAACCUCCAGAUUAGUACACGCAAUGGUCUCUGGAUGCAACCUAUCCGGGAACCCCACAGUACUUGUCAUGAAGCUGAUGCCCUGCCAAGAAUACAUAUGGAGUGGAACCUUUUUUAGGUGAAUCCACAUUGGAAUCGAAGUCUCCUCCUGUUUCUCUUCCUCCGUCUUUGGAAUCCAUUUUGUAACCACCAUAGGAACCCCCGCAAUAAUCCACAUACCCCUCUUAAGAAUCUUCUCCCGAGCUUUGAGAUUUGAAAUCCUAAACCUCAUCGUUGUUGCAUCUUCAUCAUAGACAUCCACUUUCGAAUCCAACUCACCAUACUUCCAUAUUUUAUUGACCACCAUAUGAACUUUCGCCAUGUGAGGUGCGAGAUUCAAAAACCUACCAUUCACAAAAUCAUCCCACAGUGGCGUUGAAUCAACAAGCACCUCAUCAGGAAUCAUCACCUUAUGCUUACCAUCUUGAGUCGAUACCUCAACUUCAUACUUCUUCAAACUUUUCUUAUCCUCCGCCACAACUACCCAACUCUUCGCAUUUCUCGAUCCCGAACUUUCCUUUUGCUUCUCAACCACCGCAGCACUCGUAUCCUCAUCCAGAAGCCCCGAAACUAUCCCCAGAGGGCGUAAAUCCCCCGGCAGAUUAGCCUCAUCCAUCACGCGAAACUAGAUUUCGAUCGCCAAAAUAAUCUCCUCAGAAUCGCCUUUUUGGAAAACGCAGCGUUUCGAUUUUCUAAUUCUUAUAUCUACUUCUUCGCUUGUCUAAAGUUCAUCGCCGUUGCCGGACAACGAACCCGGGUAUCUUAUUUACAGAGAUAAAUUUUAAUUUGGAUAAAUAAAAGCUUCACAUUACUAUUGAAAAUAAAAGAAGCUCCGCAUCGAAACUUAUCCGAGAGUAGCAGUAAUUGUUAGGAAUGUGGGAAUCAAAUCAGUUUUAUACUGAAAAAGAAUAUUUAUAAGUUGUAUUCCGAGUAUUGUGUGUUUAACACAGAAACAUAUAGACAGAAACGAAUGAGCUGGGAAAAACGUGUGGGAGAAGAGAGAGCGCGUGCACCAACGACAGUGCAGGGUUGACUGGAGACCGUAGGGUCGUGGAGAGCGCACUGUUCUCUACACACGCCUGUACCCACAUUUCCUCUCGACCGACAGACGACGUCGUUUAGUGUCUUUACCAUGAGAAAUAAAAUCAUUUAAUCAAGUGUAGUGAUUUUCAUACCAUGCAUGGUUUUCCGUCGUCAGUGUUUAAAUUAUUGAUUAUAAAGUUCUUGUAAGUACUCAACUAAUACACCAGUUAACUGUAGACUCAUGGUACUGUUUUAUUGUCUCGGAUAUGAUUUUUUUAAAUCGUAAAGUUAUGAACAAACUGUUUUAUUUUUUCGUCUUUUUUGAAAGUUGAUACGAACAAAUUGUUGCAAUCUUGAAAUCUUACAGUAAUAAUGCUUGUGAAAUGCCAAACCAUGAAGUAUACAAUAUAGUUCAGUUUUUUACUUUUAAAAAGGUACGAAAUUGAAUGAUCGUGGUUACAUUCGUUUCUUCACUAUGAAAUAAUGGAUGAUUAAAGAAAAAAAAAAGUUAGAGAGAGGUGAGAGAAACUUUCUCUCAAAUCUCUCCCCACCCAAAGUCGUCUUUUCUCGAACCUCACCAUCUUGAUUUCGAUUCCGGUGGCCGGCGGUGGUUGCUAAUCGUCGGUCGCCACCCCAAUUUUCUCCCCUUAUCCAAACCUCAACCCCGUCGAGCUCCGAUUUGCACACUUCCUCCUUGCUUCAUCACCUCUAGUUCUUCGUCGGAUUGCGGCCGGAUCCGGCGAACCAAACCGGUUUCUGGGUGUGUACCUAGCUUCUCCGGAGUGAUGGCGAGGUCGUGGCUGGUCGGAUCUCUUCAGGAGGCGUCGUUGGGAUAGUAGAUCUAGGGUUUGACUCGCGGUGGAUCUGGGUCAUUUUCACCUCGGAGGGUUCGCCGGAAGCGCAGUGUGUCGCUGUCACUGUGUCUCUGGUCAGCUUUGCUGCCUCCCAUGUCCUCCCCUGUCUCUUCCUUCCGGUGCUCUCGCUAGAACUUCCCCGUCGAGCUCUUCGGAUCUGUGACGAAACGCGAAGUUGAGGGCUUUGCUGGGGACUUCUCUUCCGUGUUGACUCCAUAACAACCACCAUGGCGUCGGAUGGCUUCGGAUCUGUUUGGGGGUUUCGAGAUAGGUCAGGGUUUUGUCUCUGCCUCCAUGUGACGGGUCUUCUCCAUCUUCUCUGCCUGCUGAUGGGAGCUCCGCCUCCUCCACUCUUAAAGUUUCAGAAGGAAUUUGACACCCGUUCACUGCCUCUUCGUUGCUAAGCAGCCAGAUUCUUCAGUGCUCUGCUCGUAUGACGGGACCGGAGUCGAGCCGUAUAACCUCCGCUUCCGUCAACCUGUACUUCACCGGUGCUUAAUUGCUGGCUUCUUCGUGUCGGUUUGGAUUAUCAGGGAAUGGUCUUGUUGUAUUCCCGGAGUGAGCAACGUCUGGAGUGGACUUCGUAGGUUGCGAUUGCCGGACCAGGGCUUGGUCUCCCCUGCUUCGCCGGUCCUCUUGUCGGAGUCGCCUUCGGGAUGGUCUGCGGUCCCUCAGACUGUUCUCCGGUUGCGAACUCUCUUGAUUACUUCUCUUGUUGCAGGUACCGGUGGCAAGAUUGAGUUGUGAUCUGCUGAUACUUAACGGUUGUUCUGUUUUCUUCCAUAUGCCAAGCUUUAGUCUUGUCUUUAGGGACUGUGGCUAGACCUUUUAGUUUGUUUUAGAGAGUUCUUUUUAACUUUUUUUGUGGCUCUCUCUAACACUUUUGCUUUGAUAAGCUUCUUAGAUUCCUAGGGUUUGAUUUCAUCAAACUCUUGUAAUCUCCCUGUAUCAUUAACAAGUUUAAUAAAAAUUCACAUACUUAACAAAAAAAAAAAAAAAAAAAAAAUGGAUGAUACGUGUCGAGCAGCUAAAACAAGCAUAUUAGCAUAGUAUUUUAUACAUCAAGCAUUAUAAGUUACCUAAUUGAUUCCCAUAAGGCCAUAACACUGACAUAUACGUGUGUAUGAAUUUACCACUAGGCAUAUAUACCAAAGGGCUAAAGACAACAUUAUUAGAUCAUGUAUAAGUGGAAAAAAACGAGAACUGCAACGAAUUGUCAAAUUAUAUUGCAACAAUGGACCGAACCUCUCUUUUUUACAUCGGUACAAAACAUAUAGAUAACAAUAUAUUUCAAAAUCAAACCAGCCGUACCAAACAAAACAUCCAGCUCAGGUUAGCCUAACUAAAGAUACAAAAGAAGAGAAUAAUAAAAUAAAAAUGGGCCGAGUGUGCAAGUGUGGUGAGAAAACGAGGGAGGAGAGGACGAAGCUGGACCAGGCUUCCAAACACUCCUGUCUUCAUUCUCUGACCUUUGACUCUCUCCAUUACCACAUGCAUGAGAGACCGUGACAAUUAUUUUGAUGAGAUCUAUGUAUAUGUUGGUUUUGGACGAACUACGAUUUAAUCAUUGGCUUAUUUGUUAAAUAGCCAAAAAAAAAGCAAAAUUAGUUUUCUAGAAAGAUGCUAGAGAGAGAUACGAAUAGAAAAAUGGAAAGGUAGUGUGUUUUUGGUUACUUUGUCAAUUUUGGUUUUUUAAUGUCAUUGGGUGCAAUUUCCCUUUAAUCAUAGAGUUCACUAGAUUUUUAUUUUUUUUUUCUAAAAAUAAUUGUUGAGGUGAAACUAAAUUUGUCUAUUUUUGAUAUUCUCGGUUUCUCUUUGCUCUGUUUGUUGUGCCCCAUUAUAUUCUCUUUCGUGGCAGCGCGUGGAGUUUCUGGUGGUGGUGUGUGGCAGCGUGUUAGUGAGUGUUAGUUUCGGUAUGCUUAAGCUUCGCUUUUAGAUCCGAGUGCUCGUCACCCCCCAAAACGGAAUGAUAUCGGUGGUUGUGGCCUGCUCUGUCUCUUCCACUUCUCGAUAAUUCUUCAGCUUUGAGUUCGUGACUAGAGAGCAGUUAACGGCUCGAGUUAUGUUCGUGGUGUAUUAGUUAGGCUCUGGUUCUGAGUGUGGCUUCAAAUUUAUUUCUUCCAGAGAGUUGUCUUUCGAUUUGUUUUCUAUAUAUUUCCAAGUUAGAUGGGUGUAUACGGUUUCAGUGGAUUGCAAAGAAGACAGUAAUAUCAUGUGUAAAAUGCUGAAUGACGGCAUCGUCAUCAGCCUACGGCUUUUCCUAGUACCGUCGGUGGUCUCUAUUUUCUGGUAUGUUUUGGGCUCGGGUUUGGAUACUUCGCUAGGGUAUGCUUUGUGUUCUUGUUGGAAGCUGUAGGAACGAUCAAGGCGCCCUUCUCCCAGUAGCUCGUGGCAGCCAUCGGAUUACAUAUCUAGUACUUGUGGUUGGUAGGUCCAGCAGUAAGCUGCUUACUAAUUUGUGUUUGCUUUCGGUAUGUUCCACAAAUGUUGUGUAGGUGUUACAAUAUUCCUUUCUUUUUUUGCUACUUAUUUUCUAUAUAUCAUCUGUCAAAAUAAAAAUUUGGUAAUAAUAACUUAACAUUUUAACCCAAAAAAAAAAAGUUCACUAGAUUUUGGUAUCGACCAAUAUAACAACAACUCUUAUUAGAUCAAACACUCAUAUAUGCAUUGUUUUCUUUUACGUCUUAAUCGUUAAUUUUUCUGGUUGUCUUUACGCUCAAUCUAAUUUCCUUUAAUAAUACUGUCAUCAAUUAUUAAUAUCAUUUUCAUAGCUACUAUUAAAAAAAAAUUCAUAGCUACUAACACCUCACUCUUCGCCCUUUGAGAAUUUAAAAGAUGUGCACAUGAAUUCUAGUUUGGUUCUUUUGUCCUAAAAAAAAUAGGGUACUGGUAUCAAACCAAAUCAUUCUCGGUCACUCAGAAACAAAAAUACACAUAAGAAACCUUUUUAGUUGUUCCCAUGAGGACAGGACAAUGCAAAGACAGGAAGGUGCUGCCCUUUUGUUGUUGUUUUAUUUGAAACUACCCCUUUUGUUGUUCAUUUACAUUAAUGUCUGCAAAUAAGUUAAACCAAAGUUUAUAAAGAAAUAAUCAAUAAAUUAAAAUCAGAAGAAGCAGAUCACAAAUUUUAGGUUUGUCCACCUACCGAAUUUAUUUUGAUUUCGAUGUUUGUGUCGUGGAAUAUUUGUCUUCGUUCGAUAAUUUCCUUUUAAAUAUCAAACCCCCUCCAUUGAGAAAAUUAAAACUAGAACACAUUUGUUUCAGUAUAUAGAGUAUCUUUGUACCUUGUUUAUCUGGAACAAAAGUUGUUUUCUAAAUGUGAUUAUGUUACCUAGUUUCUUUUGAAGUGAUAUUAGUAUUUUUGUACUCUACAUCUUCAAAAAAAGUUUCAAUGAAGUUAUUUAUUGUUGAAGCUUCGAUCAUACUUAACUCCAACGCAUCAAUAUAUCUUAAAUUUCACUACUUUGAAUGAAAUGGGUGAAGUCUACAUUUUCAAGCGGUAUAUCAAAAUGGAUCUACGACUUACCAGUCUUGACUACUAAAAUAUAUAAUCAUUGACUUAUCGACCAUUACCUAAAUUAAAUGAGAGCUGAAUGUUACGAGCUAGUAACUAGUUUUUGACUCAUGAAUUCAAGACCAUAGAAUAGCUAAUAGCUAUGACAACUUUUGUCCCUAGUUUUGUAGAAUUAUGUGCUUCUAUGACUUUGAGGUUCUAUUACGAAAAAAAAAACCCAAUAAAGCAUUGAUAGAUGCGUGCAAAAAAGAAGUGGUUUUCCAGUAUACGUAAAAUAAAAAAAAACGAGUCAAAGAUUUUGCUAUAAAGAAAAAAAAACAGUCAAGCUUUUUAGAUUUGGUUGUAUUAUUAUGGGGUGGGGUGAUUAUCACGGGUUUGAUGUUAACACAAGCAAGUGGAAGUUGUCUUGUGGUGGACCUUCCUCGUUCCUAGUCUUUCGCAUUUCACUGAUUUAGUUUGACCAAUUUCCAUUAAUAUUUUUAGUAACAAAAUGUACUAUAUAUAUAAUUCAAGAUCUGGUUUUUAAUUUUUGUAUAAUAGACAUCAAUGUUUUGGUGGUUGUGGCCUGGGUAGCGAUUAAAAGCGAUUGUAACUUGAAGCUUUCGAUUGAAAAAGUUUGAAAUGUCAUGAUUAUACAUAAUUGUGAUUUCCAGUCUUAGACAUACCAUCCCGGCCGAACCUGAUGCAUGAAGCUUGUAUAUUAUGGAGAAAAAAAUGAGAAUACAAAAUACUUUGUCUUCAACCUUUCAUAUGACGUAUGUUUUCUUAGUUUAUUUUAGCUGAAAUCAAGAAUUGUAUCUCUAACAACCUAAUAUUAAUACUUUGUUAUUUUUAUUUGCGAUGCCUAUAAUGUUUUGGACGUAUAAUAGAGCAUAAAUAAACUUGUAAGUUUAUCAUAACGAGAUGUAUAAUAACUGUAUAUCAUUCACAUAAAGCUUAAGCUUCACUUCUAAGAAGCGACUUUCCCUACAAGAUACACUAGAUUUUGACCCGCGCAGGCGCGCGGGUGUAUAUUUUGAAAAAUAUGUUGAUAUUUGUUUUUCAUGUAAUUAUUAGGAUUUAGAAAAAUGAAUCCGAGAAACAUAACCGAUACCGAUCCAAAGAUAUAGUACCAAACCCAAACAUAAAUUGAUUAAAUAUUCUAAUUAUUCAAAAUUUUGUUAUUUAGAGAACCGAAUCUGAUCCGAACCGAAGUAUUUGGGUAUCCGAAUUUAUCUAAAAAUAGAUUUAUAUACUUAUAUAUAUUAGUUAUUUUUAGAUUUAACGUAUAUAAAACAUCAAAAAUGAUACUUUUAAAUUGGUUUAAAUACUUGAAUAUAUAUAUAGAUAGUCAAAAGUAAAUAUCUGAAAUAGUUAAAGUAUACUCAAAUCACCAAAAAUACUUAAAAUAAUUAUUGAUUUCGUAUCCAAAAUUUUAAAUCAAGCCAGUUGAUAUGUUAAGCUUAAGUAUUAUGACAUAUGUUAUUCAAAUUUAUACGUAAUAUAUUAUUUUAUUUAUACAUUUUGAGAAAUUUAAAAUAUAUAAUGAUUUAAGACUUUAAAAAUAAUUUAAAUUAAUUAUCCAAACCUAAACCAAACCCGCAAAGAUCCAAAUCGAACUCAAACCAAAAUUUAGAAACAUUCUAAUAAGGCUGAAAUCUUUGACCCCGAAAACCCAAAAUACAAACCGAUCAGAACUAAACCCGUAUGGGUAUCCAAAAGCCCAUCCCUAGUCAUUAUUAUAUAUCGUAUUUUAUCAUCAUAUAAUUAAUCGUAUUUUAUAUGUACCAUCAUAUAAGUAAUCAUAUAAUUAAUAGUAUUUUAUACAUACCAUCAUAUAAAUAAUUACAUAUAUUAUAUUUUUAAAACUUAAUAUGAAAUAUGAAAACCAUAAUUUGAGUUGGUAUUUCAAAUUGGGCUUUGUAUUAUAUUUUUCUUAUAUAUAUUGACAAUAUUUUUUUAUAAUGGUUAUUGAAAAAUAGUUUAGUAAAAAUCCAUUUUUGAAUAUAUGUAUAUUUUUGAAUCAAUUUUUGAUAUAAAUCAAAUUUGAAUGAUUAUUUUGAUUUGAAAUAUGUAUAUAAAGUUUAAAUUUUGUUUUAUGGUUAGUUUAGAAAAAAAAAAUUUAGGGAAUUAGAUUGACCCAUUUUGGUAUAUUUUAAAAGUGGCCUAGAUAACUUUCAAUUUUUUUAAAAAACAUAAGCUCAUUAUUUUUUUUCUUAAUACUAUUAUCCUUGUUUUCAAACAAAAAUAUUUUUUUUAAAAGACUGCAAUCCAUGUUUCCAAACACUCCAAAUUUGUAAAAGUCUUAUUCAAAUCUCCAAACACUCCAAUUUUGUACUUGAGUUUUAAUAAGAUAGAUUACGUUGAUGGCAUCUUAAUCAUGUUCUACUAACAUAUUUAUUUAAUUAAAAAUUCCAGCCGUAUUUUUACAAAGUUAUAAAUGGCACACGUGUGGGGGCUCAUAGCCAGAUAAGCUCGUUCCUCAUACUCUCACAACAAUCACACCUUCUUCUUCUUCUUUGCAGCUUUCUCUCUGAGUUUCUGUGUAUUCGAAACUCGUUUAAAUGCCGAGAAGUCUAGAGCCGUUGGAUCUAGGACUCCAGAUACCGUACCACUUCAGAUGUCCAAUCUCACUAGAGCUGAUGCGUGACCCGGUAACCGUCUGCACCGGUCAAACCUACGACCGAACAAGCAUCGAGUCAUGGGUCUCCACAGGAAACAACAACACGACAUGUCCAGUCACACGCGCUCCUUUGUCGGACCACACUCUCAUCCCGAACCACACCCUCCGCCGCCUCAUCCAAGAAUGGUGCGUCGCCAACCGCUCCAACGGCGUCGAGCGCAUCCCUACUCCCAAACAGCCCGCCGAUCCAACCUCCGUCCGAGCUCUCCUCAGCCAAGCCUCCGCCGCGUGUGGAACUCACGUCUCCGUUCGCUCCCGCGCCGCCGCUCUCCGCCGUUUGCGUGCGUUCGCGCGCGAUUCCGAGAAGAACCGCGUUUUGAUCGCCGCGCACAACGCCAAAGAGAUUCUGAUCAGGAUUCUGUUCUCCGACGUGGCUCCUGAGCUGGUCUCCGAGUCCCUCGCUCUUCUAGUUAUCUUCCCGAUGACGGAGCCUGAUCAGUGCGUUUCUAUAAUCUCGGAUCCGGGUCGGGUCGGGUUCCUGACCCGGUUGCUAUUCGAUUCCUCUAUAGAAACGCGCGUUAACGCCGCCGCGUUGAUAGAGAUGGUGGUGACGGGAACGAAGGCGGCUGAUAUUAAAGGAACGGUUUUAACCUCUGAGUGUAUAUUCGAAGGAGUUAUCGAUCUUCUACGUAAUCCUACGGUAACGUCGUCCCCACGGCGAGCUCUCAAGAUCGGAGUCAAAGCGCUGUUCGCGCUCUGCCUCGUUAAAAACACGCGGCACCUCGCGGUAUCCUCCGGUGCGCCGGAGAUUCUGAUCGACAGACUCGCGGCGGGAUUAGACAGGUGCGACACCGAGCGAGCUCUGGCUACGGUGGAGCUGCUCUGCCGGACGCCGGAGGGGUGCGCGGCGUUCGGUGAGCACGCUCUGACGGUGCCGCUGCUUGUGAAGACGAUUCUGAGGGUUUCGGAUCGUGCGACGGAGUACGCGGCGGGGGCGUUGUUAGCGCUUUGCACGGCGGAGGAGCGGUGGAGAGAGGAGGCGGUGGCGGCGGGAGUGGUGGUGCAGUUGCUGCUGAUGGUGCAGAGUGAGUGUACGGAGAGGGCGAAGAGGAAAGGACAGAAGCUGCUGAAGCUUCUGAGAGACUCGUGGCCUGACUACUCCUUCGCUAACUCCGAUGAUUUCGGCUGCAGCGAAGUGGUCCCCUUUUGAACUUUUUUAUUAAUUAAUUCCACAGUAAUUAUUUUUUUAGUCUUUUUCUUUGAGCAAUUAGUAGAAAAGGAAAAAGAAAACACGUAAAGUGGUCAUUUUUUAAUGCAAAAAAAAAAUGUGAAUUAAAAAAUACAAAAAGGUUUGAUGACCAUAAUUAUUUAUAUACUGGUUUUUUUCUUCAGUGUAUGCAACUAAUUUCUCUUCUUAUUGAUUGGCUUUUGGAGCUGGGAAAAGUUGUUAAAAAGCAAAUGGAAGAUUUGCUAAAAGCAUUUAAAGUCAUUCUAUUUGUAUGAUGUACAGCUCUCUUGUUGAGUGCCGUGAGUUUUCUAAUGAAAUGUCAUUAUAGUGUUCUCUGCUUUACAUGAUGCGGCACUCUUGUUGACUUGUCUUCUUUAUGGGCUUACGUAUGGGCUGAAGCUUAAUAUAUUCAGCCCAAUAAAGUAGUAAAAAGGAAACUCAGUUUGGUUUUCAGGUUUUCGUGGAUACAUUUCGUUUUAUUUAUCAAAAUCAGAAAAGAGUCUACACUCAUCAGAUCUCAGAAACACAAACGUAAACACAUUACUCACCCAAUAUAUACACAAACACAAACCAAAGCCCUUGUAAUAAGAACCCUAUUCUUAUAUUUUAUUCAUCACAUAGUCAAGGCAAGAUAUUUCUUGCUACUCACUCUUUUCUUCCUGAACAACAGCCUCUUCAAGAACCCUACUCCUUGCUUCUUUCUUGGAACCAUCUCCAUCUUCUCGCCUUUCGCCUUCUCUGGUUCGUACACUAUCAAGGCAUUGUUAUUGUUACCGUCAUCAUGAGUAAUGCUGUCAUAGGAUGAUGAAUCUUUGGCCGUUGCGUCUUCAAUACUUUCUCGGAGAGAAGGUCUUUUGUGUAGAAAUUGCAUUGUGCUGCUAGUUUCUGUUGUCGAUAGAGCUCUUAGUUGCUUCCUUAAAUUGGUAAUUGUUUCUUGACACUCUGAUAACUUCACAGAAGCUGCCGCAACCUCCCAUCCCUACAAACAAAAAUUCCAUCAUAAUCAAACACCUACGAACCCUAAAUUUUUGAUAUUUUAGUCUGUGAAUUUAUGUACCUUUCUACUCACGCUUUUGUUUCUUUGCAUUGGUUUCUUCGUUUCAACACUGCAAAAAAAUCAUACAAUAGUUGAUGAAAUUUCAAUAGCAAAAGGGAGUAAUGUUGAGAUCUUUAUAUGUGAUUUAAGGGUUUUUGGUUUACCUUUCUAACUGAAGCUGAAGCUCGAUGCAAGUCCCUUCGAGUUCUUCACAACAACUCUUUCUAUAAUCAAACUCUACUUCAAGAGAAGACAGUUUCUUCUCCGUCUCGUUGAGCUUAGCUUCAGCUAUGUGUAGCUUUGUAUCAAGAUCUUCCUUCAUUGACUUCUCAGCUUCCAUCUCAGCCUCUACCUUCUCCUUACUCUCUCUCAACUCCCUGACCUCGCCUUCUAAGCUUCUGAUCUUUGCCUCGGCUUCCUCAAGCUUACCCUUCAGUUCUUGCCUCUCUUCAGUUUCAACUUUCUCCACCUUUGUUAGACCCAAAUGUCUCUUGAUCUCAUCCUUUGUCAUUGGACCUGAUUCCACACGAAACUAAUAUUACAUGCUGUGGUUUCGGACCUAGGAGAUUACGGGCUUCGGCCAGAACCUCCUGGUAUUCAAAAAAUAAAAAUAAAAAAGAACCUGAUUCCACAUUUGAUUUCCAUGUGAUGCAGAGAGGAUCUCCUUCAGCUUUCUUGCUCUCUACAUCAUCAUCAUCAUCCAUACAUCCCAAAGCAAUCUUGAUGUCUUGCAACAACUCUUUAACACCGCGUUUCGAUAUCCUCUCUUGCUUUGAUACAGCACUCAAAACAACUUGAAUCCAGUCGAAAGACCCGUCGUCUUUCUCACCAUCAUCCUCUCCUCUUGGAGCUGCUUUCUCAGUACAAACAAUAGCUAACUUCUCCAUCUCAUUAAAGUCAUCCAUAAGCAACUUCAUCUCCUUUGAACCAGAAGGACUAAUCACACUAUUUUCACUUCUAAUAUCGAAACUCGAAGCACUUAGCGGCUUCUGCCCGCGGCUAAGGUCUUUAAUCUCCAUGUUCUUCCUCAUAAUGAUGUCCAUAAGAUUCUUGUUCUCGGCUCUAACGUUACCUAUCUGCUCCAUCAGCAGAUCGUACUUAAGCUUCCGGCUCUGAGCUUCAUCUCUCAUCAUCAAAUCACUCUUAUUAUUCGCGUUUCUUCUUUUCAUCUCUUCCCCUUCGUUCCUCAUGGAGAUCGACCUAUCAGGAAACUUCUUGCGGAACAGGAGUCUCAGUCUCUUGCAUUCGGCUUCGAGCUCCACGAUCUUGUUCACGUUCCUGAGCUGCUGUUUGUGCGUUAGCUCCAUAGACUUGCGAGUAUACUCUGUUUCCUCUGUUUUUACCUCAAGAUCCUUUUCAAGAACCGUAUACUCGUAUCUCAAGAACGCGUUUUCUUUCUCCGUUGCGUCUAGUCUCGUCAUCAACGCUUCGAAUUCUGAUUCCACUUGAUGCUUACGCUCUUGCAGGCUCACCGCGAGCUCUUCUUUGGCCGCAAGCGACUUCUUUAGCUGAGAGUUCUCAGCGGUUAAUGUAUGAAUCUUUCUCUUCAUCUCAAUUACGUCAUCAAACGCAGAUUCUUCUUGUCUUGAGCUAAAGUUGUUGUUAUCGAGUCUCUUUGCGUCAUGAUCUCUCCCGAGAAGCUCCAUUCGCUGGAGGAGCUUAUCACAAAAAGGGGAUGAGUCUCCUCCAUCCACCAAACUCAUUUCUUCAUCUUUCAAGAAAAUCUCAUCAGCUACAUCUUUAUCUCCGUAAAGAUUCACACGAGGAUCUUUCUUAGGAGAGUUUAAGGCUACAGUAUCUAGCUUCUCGUUCAGAUUUUUUCGAGCUCUCUCGGGUCUAACUCCAUUUCCUGGAGGAACCGUACGUGCCUAGACACCCAAAUCAAAUUAAUCAUCACUCAAAAGACAUUUACUAAGCAAUCUUGAAAUUGAAAAAGCAAAUAAAGACAGAACAUGAGUUACUAAACGACAAAGUUUUGCUGAAGAAAAGUAUAAAAACGUUUGAAGCAAAACUUGGCUACUUCUGCAAGUGUUUAUUUUACCUGUGGUUUAAUGUUUCUUCUAGAAGAACCUUGGAGUGUUUCUGCUACAGAUUCUAUUUUCUUCUUCGAUCUCCACUGGUUUGCAUCCAUUCUUUCUGUAAGAUAGAGCAUAAACUUAAACAUACAACUUUGCAUUCUACUGAGAAUAAUCUAAGAACAAGACCCAAGAAGAUGUAAAUGAUCAAAGGAAAGUUUGGAUGCAAGUUCUUACAUAGUUUUAUGUUAGUUGCCCAGCUUGAACAAGUGUGUGACUAAUGUCUGCAACAGCAAAAUAUGAAGAAGAGGAGAGAUGAAUCUUCGCAAGGAAAUGAGGUAGAGGGAAGCGUCAAAGUGACUAUGUGACACUGAUAUUUAAUUGUUUACGUUUCAACUCAUAAAUAAGCAUUAAAGGGGCCAAAGAUUAUAGGCUUUAUUCAAUUGUUUUUGUUCUGAAGUUAUAGUACAAUGUUUUAAUGAAGAAACUGUUUUAAAACCUUGCCUUUAAUAAAUUUUACUCAAGAAACAAUCAUAAGAAAAUAAAAUUCACCUAUUAGUAAUACCAUUUCAACACUUAACAAUCAUUUUGUUUUUGCAUUAGUAAUACCAUAAUUAAUAUGGUAAUACCUACCCUUAAAUGAAAGGGAGAGCAAGUAUUAAAAAGAAUGCCUGCAAAUCAAUUAAGGGGUUAAAUUAAGUCCACAAGACAUUUAGUGCUACCUAAUGACAGUGACAUUUGUCUUGUAACUUUUUCUUUGAUAAUUACUUUUGCCAUCUCUCUUCUUUUAGUAGGUUUCAUCGGCUUCUUCUUCUUUCGGUUCUCCCUUUUUUUGUAGGCUUCUAACAAGCAAAAUUAUAUUUCUAGAAGAUAUAAUAUAAACAAUUCCAAUGGUUAUUUUUGUCAUAAAAACAAUUCCAAUGGUUGCCAAAAAUAAAUAAUAAACAUUUCCAACGUUAGAAUUUCAACAAUUUUGAUUACUGGUAAACCAUAUAUAGAAGUGUUGACCCUUUAGAAAGAAGUAUACGAAAAAUGUUUGGCCUAAACAUUGAUUCUACCUACUUUUAUUAUUUCUGAGAAAAAUAUAUUAUAAAGUUAAUCAUGGUUAGACAAUCACCAUGUCGCUAGCAAGACAAGUAUUAUUUUCUUUCUUUUUGAUUUUCUUGGAGGCCAUAGGAUUCCAAAUGCUCUCCGGUCUCCACCGACAGUUUUUACUACCACUACCAUUCUUUAAUUACCCAUCAUGUCGUGUUGAAAAGGAAAAGAAAAUAUAAUAUCACAAAAGUUCACAAAAUGGAACGGAGAAGUGGGGAAUAUAGUAAAGGAGACGUUACGAAAAUAUUAAAUUUUGGGGGCCAUAUAAUUUUGUGAUGUCUAUGAAAAGAAUAAAGCUAUGAUUAUAAAACUAAUGAAGAUAUAACCAAAUUAUUAAAUCCACUUUAAGCCGUUAAAAUGAUAUAUAUUUCUUAGUUGUCUUGUUGUAGGGGAAGAAGCCACAAUGAUCUUUUGUAGGUACUUGGUAUAAAAACUUGUUAUAUAGUUUUCAAAUGGAUUUGCUCUGCAUUAUUUGCAUCGGUUGAACCUAAUCGCAGGCAUGCAUUUUAUUUAUUAACUAUAAGAGAGCAAAAUAUUCAGGCAUCCAAGUACUAAUAUCAAGCUUUAUAUCAGGAUCGAUCCUGAUGAAGAGCAGUUAUCUUAAUAUUAUAAGUUAUUAAUAUGUAUGAUUAUAUAACUUUUAAAUCUAUAUAUUAUUUUUAAAAUUAUAAAUCUCUGAACCAUUUGUGUUUACCAUGAGUGAACAAGUUAAAUGGAACUAACCAUCAAUUGGUUUUAUGUUGGAAAUUCAUGAUAAGUCCAAUUAGUUUCAUUUCAAAUUUGUUGUUUGUGAAUAGUAUUACCGUUUGUUUACUCACCCGCGCUCCUGCGCUCACGGCUUCUCUAUAUCAACUCUUCCAGCACAGUUAAGCAACUCUGCAGUUUUUUAAUCAACAAACCAAUUUCAGAAACAAAAGAUCAUCACACACACAAUACACAAGUAUAAUUUAAAGACAGUAUCAAUACAUAGGACAAACAAGAACAUACCUGCUUGCAGGCCCGGCUCAAAUAUUAAAAGCGUCCUGUGCUGCCUUAAUUUUGUUGUCAACCUUUAGUUAUAUUAUAGUCAAUUUAAAAACUAGACCUUAAUAUUUAUAUUUCUUAACAAAAUAGGACCCUAAUUUUGUAAAGUAAAAAACAGGACCGUGUGCAAAUGUGCUGUGAGCACAUGCUCUAAGCCGGCACUGCCUGCUUGGCCAUGAGCAUAGUGACAGUUAUCACCCAAAGGACACUGACGUUUCUCAAACUUCAUACAUAUCCUAGUCUUUACUACUUACUUGGUAGUUUUUUAUAAAACAAAUCUAAUAUAGAAAGAGAUUUGGCCACAUUAUCUGCUUUUAUAUAAAAAUCAUUAAUCUUUAUGCUUUUAGUAAUUUGUUUAAAACCUAGUCUGAUAUAUUAAAUAUAUUUAUCAACAUAUUAUCUAGAUUAAAUGUAACAUGCAUAUAUGUUAAAUUAUUUAGUUAAAUAUUAUAACCCUAAGUUAGCAAAUAUAUAUCAUACCAUUGAAACUUAGAAAAAUUGUUAGAAAUACUACAAGUUAAGUAUCAUUUUUCAAAAAAUACCACCAAUAAAAAAAUAUACUAAUAUUUGGGUUUAUGCUUUAGUGAUUAUUGUUUAGGGUUUAGUAUUAAGGAGUUGGGAUUGAGUUUAUAAAUGCUCUAUAAAUAUUUUCAAAAGAAAUUAGCUUAAUGUUAUUUUAUCACAAAUUUAAGGUAUUUAUGAAAAUAGUCAUUCAUUAAUGGUAAAUUUGAAAAGUGGUAUCAAACUUGCAGUAGAAUUAAAAUUUGAGAGUUUUUCAAAAGUAACUCAUCUUUUCAAGUCAAACAUAAAACCAACCUCUUUUUUUGUCAUUAAUAUUCAUAAAUGAAUUUUCUAUACUAUCCCUAUGUUUUUGAAUUAUUUACAAAAUUAUCAUUAUUAUUUAAUUUUUUAUUAAUUUCGAAAUUCACAAAAAACCAAAUACACCUACAUCUUUUUUUCUUAUUUACAAUAAUGUCAUUAUCAUCAAUUUUUCCAACCAUCAUGAACCACCAAUUUUGAGCUCUUAAAGCUCUAGAAUUCAAUUUUCAACCAUUUUUUUUUCCAUUGUAAAACUAACAAAUCUUCAUUUCCUCUACAUUUCCAUAUAGAAAAAAUUUCUCAUAACUUUCGUUUUCAUAAGCACAAACUUCAUAUUUUCGAGUUUAUUCAUUAGUGAAUCGUCAAAGGCAGUUCUUUUUGUUUGUGUUUGGAGUUUGGACGGUUGAGAAGGUUGGAAACGAGCUUUACACCAGAAAAGAUAACUAUUUACAUGGUUUUCGUUAUUUUUCAGAUCUGUGUCGAGAUCAUAGACUGUUUUGUAUGUCUACGCCUAUAUGCAAACGUAUGAUGCAUUCUACUUGUCAACGUACAUGCCAGUUUUGCAAUUGACCAAACAAAGUUUUUUGUACCGCAGACUUUCCCAGCAGUCUUUAUCUUUGACAACAAAAACAAAAAUUUAGGUAGAUUUACUAAGACGUUUACGUAAGAGAUGCUAGUUUUGCAUUUGGCUGAACUUUUGACUUUUUAUUUUAGACUUCAACGAAAGUCUACGAAGUGUAGAUUGCCUGAGAAGUUUGCAAAAUGUCAGUUUUGCAUUAGACCAAAACUUUAACUUCGUUGAAUACGUUAGUUUUGUGUUUGCCUAAAAAAAUUAAAAAUUAAUUAAGAAUUUAUUAAAUUGUAGAUUUUAUAUGCAGUCUUUUUAUCUUAGAAAAAAAGGUAGACUGCAUGUGAAGUCUACUAUUUUAUUUUGGUCAAAGGCAAAACUAACCCGUCAGAGACGUUCGUUUCCAUUUACUCGUAGAAAUUCAAACUUGGUCAAUUACAAAACUAACCUCUUUAAAAAAAACUUAAAAAUGUAGACUGCAUAUGAAGUCUACUUCUGAAAGUUAAAUCCUAGGUGAAUUUUGGUCAAUUGAAAAAAAUAAACAUUUUUGAAGUGUAGACUGAAAUGGAAGUCUACAUGUAUAAAAUCAAAAAAAAAUUCAAACAUGUAUUAAGUUUUUUCAAGAUUUUGUUUCUUUGACAGUGUGUAUUAAUUAAUCCAAAUGGGUUCGCGUGAUUUUGAAAAGAAAAUCUGUUAUAGUUAUGAAAGUAUAGUACUUUUGAUUUGACUAUGUUGUUAGCUAAUAAUUGUAUACGUAUUUGUAAGUCUACCUUUAUAGUUUUAUGAAACAUGAAAUAUUUCUCCGCUAAUUAUGUAAACUUAGGGCUGUUCAAUAUGGUAAAACCAAACCGUACCGAACCAAACCAAACCGAAAUAGACAAUAUGGUUUGGUUUUGGUAUAUACCAUAUAAACCGAAUGGAUAUAAUUUUAUAAAAACCGUAGGAUUUGGAUAUGGUUUGGUAUAUAACCGAUUAAACCGAAUAAACCGAACAAAACCGAUUAAAAGUAGAAACAUAUAAAUAUGUAUCUAUUUUAAAACAAUACAUGAAAAUCUAUUUGUUACAUAAGUUAAAUUUGUGUUAAUAACUAUUACCAUAAUUUUAUAGUAAUAAAAAACCUUAAUUUGUAAAACAUUUGAACUAUAAUUAAAUAACAAUACAUCGCAAUUCAUACAUCUUAUUUUCUAAGUCUUUUUUUGAUCUUUUUGAUUUAUUUUAGUCUUAACUUAAUUAAUAUGAAGAUUAUAAAUUUGAUGGACAAUAAUUAAUGGAAAAUUUUCAAUUGAAAAAACAUGACUUUAAUGAACACUAAAUAUGGAAGAGUGGAAAAACUUUUCUUUUAUGUUUUUGUUUUGUUUCAUAGUUUUAUUUUCAAAAUUUCAAGCUUUAAUUUUAGUUAUAGAAUUGAUUAUUUUAUUUGAUGGUAGAAGCAUUUUUACUUUUUUGUUCAUCUAUUUGAACAUGUAAUAUAUUUUUAAUAAAUGAUUGUGUUGACAAUAUGACUCUAAAAUUCAUAUAAUAUGAUCUCAAACAAAAUAAUUAUGUUUUUUGGUAUAAAACCGAAUAAACCGAAAACCGACGGUAUAUAAACCGAACCGAACCGAAGUAAAUAUGGAUUUAGAAUGGUAGUUAUAUUUUACUAACCGAAAUACCGAAAACUGAAAAAAACCGAACCGAAACCGAACCGAUAUCCGGAUUGAACACCCCUAUGUAAACUGUAUUUUUUUGAAAAUAACUCUGUUACCUAUUGUAUAUAAUUGGAAAGGAGGAAUAAUGUUCCUUGUACUCAUGGUGAACUUCUAAAAUAGCAUAAGAAGAUUAUGAUCUGGACAAGAAAAUCGAAAAGAUGGUGCUAACAUAUUCCUUACUAGACGUCAUUUUACAACAAAUAACUUCGAAUACGCGAAUACUCCUCUUAUGCAUGUCACAAAUUAUCGACAAGUGCAGAACUUGAUCGAGUUAUCUAAGACACACUUUGUACGUCUUUGUGUAUCAAACCAGCGUCAAGUACACUACAAAUUUUUGGUUUGACUAUAUGUUAGUUAAUACGUAUAAACGUCUUUGUCAAUCUACAAAUGUAGACUGGAGUUGAAGUUUACGUCGUAAAUUCUAUUAAAAGUGCAUUUAUGUAUUAUUCAUCAUAUUUUUUCACGAUUUAAUUAUUUUACGAUGUAUGUUAGUAAAAUUUUAAUUGUCUUGGAUGAAUUUCAAAAGUUAAUGUGUUAUAAUUAUACAUUUCAAACUUAUUGCAAAAAUUUGUGAUUAGUUUUACUCUUGAAACUUCUUGGAAAUUUUGUAUAGAUUUUCUUCUUCUCACAAGUGUGCUAGUUAUUGUUUUAGCUUAUGGUGGUUUUACUUGUUUAGUUGAUUAGAUCUUGUGAAAACAUUGAUAUCUAACAAAAAAUUAAUAAUAUCAUACAAAUCAAACAACACUAAAAAUGAAUACAAUGUUUAUAGAUCAUGCAUUAAACAAUUAUUAAACAAUUAUUUUUUAUUAUGAGAAAUUAUUACAUAGCAAUAUAUUAAAAUUUAUUCUUGAGUGUGUUUGAUUUUUCAUAAUCUCGAUAUCUCAAAUAAAGUCUUGGAAAAGAGUACAUGUAAAGUAAGAUAAAGUUAUGAGAAAAACAUAGGAUAAAAAAUUAAAUCAUAUUUUAGUAGAUUUUUUUUAUAUUUUAGUAGACUUUUUUUUAAGUCUAGGUAAAGUUAUUGUUUAGUGGACUUUAGUUGACUUUAGUUGAAGUCUACACUAACGGAACAUUUUCUUAUCUAAAAGUGUAUAUUUAGGUAAUUUAAAAUACUUUGUUUAGAAAAUAUUUCAAAAUAGUUAUUUUUGUCAACCUUGUAACAAAGCAAAAACAUAAAGUAUGAAUAUAUAAAUUUAUUCAAUAUAAAUACAAAAACAUCCUAUAAUGAAUAUAUGUAAAUCUUACAUUUUUGGGAAGAUGAUUUGAAAACUUCGGAAGAGAAUACCUGUAAAAUAAGAUAAAAUUAUGAAAAAUAAGAUAAAAAUUAAAAUUAUAUUUGAGUAAACUUCUAUUGAAAUAUGCUUAAAAGUCAAGGGUAGUAGACUUCAAGUGAAGUAUACUCUAUAAAAAAAAACUAGAUAUAAGAAAUUACAUACAUUUAAAAUAUAAAAUAAGUUUAAAUCUAAAAAAACUUUAAAAAUAUAAUUUAAUAGACAAAAUAGUAAUAAAUGAAAGGCAUAGAAUUUGAAUAUGUAGCUUUAUUUAAAUAUAAAUAUUAGAACACAUGUUUAAAAUCUAUAGAUGUAAACCUUACAUUUUUGGGAGGAGAAAAGAACAACCAUGAAAAACAAUACCUGGAAAAUAAGAUAAAAUUAUUUCAAAAACAUAGAAAAAAAUUAAAGUCAUAUUUUGUAGACUUCUAAUGAAGUUUGUUUAAACUUUGUGGCUUAGUAGACUUCAUAUGAAGUCUACUAGCUUAAGUUUAUAAGCAGACCUCUUUAGAAGUCUACACUGUCUGAUAAUUUUCAGAUCUGAAAAAAAAUUAUACAUUUCUAAAUGUGAAAAUAAUUUUAAAUCUAAAAAUACUUUACAAAAUAGAAUUUAUAAGAUAAAAUAGUAUCAAAGUAAAUGAACAGAGCUUGAUCUAUAAAUUUAUUUGAAUAUAAACCUAUAAAUACACAUUCAAAUUUAUUAAUCUAAAACUUACAUUUUAAGAGGAGAAGAUGAAAUCCAAGAGUGAUAAUAACUACAAAAAAAGAUAAUAUUAUGAGAAAUAAAUAACAUAAAAAUUCACAUUUAAAAACUAUAGAUCUAAAACUUACAUUUUUAAAGGAGAAGAUGAAAACCAUGAAUCAUAAUAUCUAAAAUGACAGGAUAAUAUUGUGAGAAAGACUUGAGAGAAUUUUAGAGAGAGGAAGAUAAAUGAGAGAGUUUUAGAGAGAAGAGAGAGAACUUUAGAGAAAAGGGAGAGAGUUUUAAAGAGAAGUGAGAGAGUUUUAAAAACUUAUGCAUCCAUUUUAGAGAGAGAUUGUAUAAAUUUCAUUUAUAUAGGGAGACAAAAAAUGUAACUAGCUUAAAAAAUUAAUGACACUGUAGACUUCUUUUGAAGUCUAUUAAAAUUAAAAUUUUGGAGUAGAUUUUAUCGUAAUUUAGCAGACCUUUUUGGAAGUCUACUAUAAUAAUUUCAUUAUUGUUGUUUAUUCUUUAUUAAUUUUAGUUUUAAUAUAUGAUUUACUAUUUUUUUUGGUUUUUAAUAGUUAUAAUUUAUGAUUUCACAUUUUUAUUCUUAAGAAACUCAACUUAGUUUAAAUAUAAUGAUUUUUUUGUAAACAAAUUUGAAAAACGUAGACUGAAAAAGAUGUCUCCAGCUAAAUAGACUUUAUUGUAGGUCUACGAAACCCUAAACCACAAAUCUUAAACCCUAAAUGUUUUGCUCUAUGAUAAAAAGUCUUAGUUACUGUAUCAAAUAUCAAAUUAUACAAAAUAUAAACUACUAGGCAUUAAUAUACAAAUUUAAGUCAAUAAAACAAAAAAAAACUAAAUCUAACCCUAAGAAAUCUACCACUAGAAUACAUAACAUGUUAUAACCUUUUGUUUCUAAACCAGACUGUCUAACUCAUGGUUAGCAAAUUAGAGUAUAUUCCUUAAAAUUGUUCAAUUAUAUAAAAUUUUAAUUUAUUAACUUCAUAUUAAUCAUUAUAUUGAUGAUUAAUUAAAAAUAUCACAAUAAUUAUUUUAUACAUUUUUAAAAUUAAAUUUUUAGAUCAAAUUACAAUGUAGACUACAUAAUAAAUCUAUAACAGUAGAUUUUUUAGGAGGUCUACAUAUAUGUAAAUUUCUUUCUAUUACGUGUAGACUUACUAAGGACAAAAUUGUAAAAUCCAUUUCUGUUUUUUUUGUUUGGUCAUAAGGGUUACAUAAUAUAUUUACCAUAUUUUUAUGUUGGUUUUGCAUUUGACCGAAAGUAGAGUUCACUUUUAUGUUUGACAUGAAUAUUUGGAUUGGUUUUAUCAAUUAUCCCUUAAAAUUUCCCCAAAAAAACUUAGGUUGCAAAAAAAAUUGUCUUGUUUUGUUUCUUUGAUAUGUAUAGUUUAUAUACACACACUCGCAAACUUUUGCGAGAAAAAUGUAGUACUUUCAUUAUAGAAUUCAAUGUUUACUACUAUGUUACAAAUGAUUUAAGGAGAUUAGCAUUAUAAACACAGAUAUUGAGACUUUUUUUAAAAGAUAUUCAGACUUGUUCCUGAAACCACAUCAUUCGAAGGAAUCAAAUCUGUUGGUCAGCAACACGACUGACCUCUCGCCAAUCGAUAGUCGACUGUUCACACGCGCUAGUGACUUGGGCUUUGGGCUUAUAAAACUUGUGCUUAGAGAGGGUUUUGAGUCAGGGCUUAGAGAGGAUUUUGAGCCACUCGCAGAUUCAGACCCACCUCUAUGUUGUUGUUGCUGCUGCUCUUUUACAGUCCUCAGGAUCGCAGUUGCCUCUGCGACUUUGGAUUCGAGAGCCACGAAGGAUUCAAGCAAGUGAAGAACUUUGGUUUGGUCCAUUUCAAGAAGCAUUCCUGUAAUCUUUGCUGCUGACUCUGGCUCAAGUUGUUCCACCAUAGGGUAAAGACUCUCACCUAACAUCUGUACAAAUCAUUUCACUUCUUAGAAAAAGAACACAACAAAAAGAAAGAGAGAGACAAGGAUAUAACUAUAAAGGCAAAAAAAAAAAAAAAAACUAUAAAGGCAAACAAAACAUUCACGUACGGUUCUCUGCUGUUCGGGAGUUGCAUUUGCAAGUGACAUAGCUAAAUCCACGUAAACUUGUUUCCUUAUCUUCUUUUUCCAAUUAAUUUCCUCCAUCUGAAUACAUGGAAAAACAACCACCAGUAUUAGUUUCUCUGUUCCAAAUAAAGUGAUACAUUGUUUCUAGAAACUUACAGCUUUAGAAGCUUCCUCAGGUUUCGAAAACGCAACAAUGCCUGAUCCUCUACUCACUCCACUAGAGUCUUGCAUGACCUAUCCACAUCCACACGUGUUAUACCUAGAAUAUCCUCGAGAUUUUCUAUAAAUGUACAAACAAACCUUGCAUGAUAUUAUAGUUCCAUAGGGAGAGAAAUAGUCUUUGAGAAUUUCAUCAGUUACACUUUUAUGCAGCUUCUUAACACACAAGUAGUUCAAACCCUGAGAUAUGUUGAUGUAAUAUUUCAAACCUCGCUUCAAAUUAUAUCCAUUCUUAUACGUCAUUUUCGAUUUCGUGACCAACCACUCCUUGUCCUCAAACUUCUUCCCGUUUAAAGCCUCAACAGCUUUCUCAGCAUCCUCUGGAUUUUCAAAACUAACAAAACCAUAGCCUUUAGACUUUCCUUGACGAACUUCACCUUUCCUUAUGAUCAGACAGUUCGUCGUCGGUCCAAACUCUCCAAAAAUCUUCUCAAGCUCUUCAUCAGCCAAUGACUUGGAGAAAUUCUUGACGUAAAUAUCAGUGAAGAUCCCCUUAUCGUAUGGAGAACCUCUCUGAAGAAAAGGUCCUACAUAUAUUUUCUCAUCGUUAAGAAGCAUUCCGUUCAAAUAACCAAUGGCUUUGAGAGCUGAUUCUUCGUUUUCAUACUGCACAAAGCCAAAGCCUUGUGAACGACCAGUGUCAUUAUUAGUAGCCAAUUUGAAUCUUAGAAUGGAUCCAAAACUCCGAAAUGUGUCGUAGAGUGCUUUGUGGCCGAUGGACUCUUCAAGAUUCUGUAAACAAUGUCAGAUUAUAUUGGAGAUCAAGAAACAAAAGAAACUAUUCUUUUGAGUUUCACGUUUCAGUUUAUACCUUUAUAAGUAUACAACCAACCCAGCCCUUUCGAAGAAGACUUGGAUCAUGGACAUGAUAAAUAGCUCUAAUCUCUUUUCCAUUAAUAGUAGUGCGGUUCAUCAUCUCUAGUGCUCUUUGUGCUAUCAACCGGUCGACCAUAGAAGAAAAUCAGAAGUACGUGAAUACAUAGCUAGAAACGGUAACUCGAGAAAGCACUGAACCCUAGGUUGUGAUUGGUGAUAUAGCGUGGCAACCUCAUUAGUAAUAUCUAAAAACAUGUUCUAAUCUCAAAAGUAAUAAUAAUUUAAAGUCUGAUUGGUAAUGGAGACAAAUCUUCUCAUACCCCUAUAUCUCAUAACACAAUUUCAAAAGGACACUUUUGUUUUUUUAAUUUUAUAUAUCAAACGAAAAAUCAUAAAAUUAAAAUAGAAACGUUAAUAUUUUUUAUUUGAUUUAUAGAAUUUGAUAAAAAUAUUUCAAAAAUCCAAAAACGUUGUUUUCCAUAUUUUCGAAAAAAUCAUCAAAAUAUGAUUAAAAACGAUUUUAAAUUUUUUUUUUCUGAAUUUGAAAGGUAUAAAAUUUAAAUAUUUGCCCAUGGGUUCACUAAUCCAUAGGGGGGGUUAGGGUUUAGUUUUGAUAACCGGGAAGGAUUUGAUUUGGAAGUUUGGAUUUUGAUCAAAAAAAGAAUUAUGAAAUAAGGGUAUAGGAGACUCUAAGAGCCCAUAAUAGAUUUGGCAUUGUCACAUUGGGGGCACGCGAGAAGUUGACUAUUGGUAAUGGCUGUAGCUUUAAAAAUUUUACUGUAGAAAAAAAUCUGUAAAUUUUUUGCUUUGGCUUUAGAUUUUAUUACUGUAGAAUUUUAUGGAAAGCACUAAAAAAUUGCUUUGGAUAUUUGGCUAUGCAGAGCACUUGUACAGCUGUAGAUUAUUUUAAGAACUGUGGUUUCAAAAAAAAAAAUUAAAGCUUGAUUGCUUUGAAUUUGGUGUUGUAGAAAUAAAUAGGACGGUUGACACUACCUACAGCAACUACCAAUCACCCCCUUAAUCAUGUGUAAUUUUGUUGCUAAAAUUUAUUUCUUUUGGAAAAAAAACAAGCAGAAGUUGACAAAUAACAACUAAGGAUCAUAACCGAAGGUAAUCUUUUCUACUCUUUUUUAUUAUUUUAAUAUUUCUUUUCAAAAUGAGAUACGAUAGUUGGACCUGCUCUAAAAUCUUUGAAGGCUUUAAAAAGAUUCUAAAGUCUUGAAAUUAGAAAAAAAAUUAGAAAUUAGAUUUGUAGAAAGAAGGCAGAGAAAUAUAGAAAGAGAAAGUAGAAAAGAAGGAGGUUUUUUAGAUAGCUAGUAAAUUUGUGUUUUUUUAUAUCGUUAAGUAGGCUUAGUUUCCCUGAAACUAAAGUCAUAUAUUACCGAAUGUUUUUCUUCUUGAAGAAAAUCAAUAGUUUAGUGAACAACAAGAAGAAAAACUGGCUUUACGUGUUUUAGAGGUUUUUCUGAUCAAUAAAACUUGAUUAGAUAAUAAUAAUAACUAGAUUUUGAUCCGCGCAGGCGCGCGGGUGUAUAUUUUGAAAAAUAUGUUGAUAUUUGUUUUUCAUGUAAUUAUUAGGAUUUGGAAAAAUGAAUCCGAGGAACAUAACCGAUACACAUCCAAAAAUAUAGUACCAAACCCGAACAUAAAUUGAUUAAAUUUUCUAAUUAUUCAAAAUUUUGUUAUUUAAAGAACCGAAUCUGAUCCGAACCGAAGUAUUUGGAUAUCCGAAUUUAUCUAAAAAUAGAUUUAUAUACUUAUAUAUAUAUUAAUUAUUUUUAGAUUUAACGUAUAUAAAACAUCAAAAAUGAUACUUUUAAAUUGGUUUAAAUACUUGAAAAUAUAUAUAGAUAGUCAAAAGUAAAUAUCUGAAAUAGUUAAAGUAUACUCAAAUCACCAAAAAUACUUAAAAUAAUUAUUGAUUCCGUAUCCAAAAUUUUAAAUCAAGCCAAUUGAUAUGUUAAGCUUAAGUAUUAUGACAUAUGUUAUUCAAAUUUAUACGUAAUAUAUUAUUUUAUUUAUACAUUUUGAGAAAUUUAAAAUAUAUAAUGAUUUAAGACUUUAAAAAUAAUUUAAAUUAGUUAUCCAAACCCAAACCAAACCCGCAAAGAUCCAAAUCGACCUCAAACCAAAAUUUAGAAACAUUCUAAUAAGGCUGAAAUCUUUGACCCCGAAAACCCGAAAUACAAACCGAUCAGAACCAAACCCGUAUGGGUACCCAAAAGCCCAUCCCUAGUCAUUAUUAUAUAUCGUAUUUUAUCAUCAUAUAAUUAAUUGUAUUUUAUAUGUACCAUCAUAUAAGUAAUCAUAUAAUUAAUAGUAUUUUAUACAUACCAUCAUAUAAAUAAUUACAUAUAUUAUAUUUUUAAAACUUAAUAUGAAAUAUAAAAACCAUAAUUUGAGUUGGUAUUUCAAAUUGGGCUUUGUAUUAUAUUUUUCUUAUAUAUAUUGACAAUAUUUUUUUUAUAAUGGUUAUUGAAAAAUAGUUUAGUAAAAAUCCAUUUUUGAAUAUAUGUAUAUUUUUGAAUCAAUUUUUGAUAUAAAUCAAAUUUGAAUUAUUAUUUUGAUUUGAAAUAUGUAUAUAAAGUUUAAAUGUUGUUUUAUGGUUAGUUUAGAAAAAAAAAAUUAGGCAAUUAGAUUGACCAUUUUGGUAUAUUUUAAAAGUGGCCUAGAUAACUUUCAAUUUUUUAAAAAAACAUAAGCCCAUUACUUUUUUUUCUUAAUACUACUAUCCUUGUUUUCAAACAAAAAUAUUUUUUUUGUAAAGACUGCAAUCCAUAUUUCCAAACACUCUAAAUUUUUUAAUAGUCCUAUUCAAGUCUGCAAACACUUCAAUUUUGUACUUGAGUUUUAAUAAGAUAGACUAGAUUUUGACCCGCGCUUUGAAAGCGCGGGAUAACAUUUCGGUUAAAUUUUUUGAUUUAACAGUUACUAAUUUUCGGUCUGAAUUUUAAUUUUUGAGUUUUGACAUAUUUAACUGAAAGUAAUUUAUUUUAACUUCUCAUAGUGAUAGUCAUUCGGGUUUAAGGUACGUGUCAGUUAGGAUUAUUCAAUUUUCAAGUUAUUGGGAUUUUAAGACCCGUUUAGGAGAACCAUGCAUUUUCGAAUCAGAUCAAUUCGGGUGAUGUGCAGUUUGAGUCAGGUUUUUAUUUUCUUAUAAAACCAAAGUGAACUAAAUUAAAAAAGUUUGGAUUUAAUUUUGACAAUGUUAUAAAAAUUUUAAAAACACGUCCAAAACCUGAGUUAAACCUGGAAAACUGAAAUUCACAUUUGGAUUGUAUCUAUUCAAGUAAUUCACGUAAUUGGGGGAGGGGGGGGGGGGGGUUGGAUUUUUUUAUUGAUAAAUUAUAUUAUAUACGGAUAGAAAGUAAUACUUUAUUAUGUUUAAAUAAGAACCAUUCACAUUUUUGUAAAUCACUGUUACGAAGGGGAUGAUCUAACAAUAAAUAUUUUCUCAAUAUAUAGGAUAGUUUAUCAUAUAAUAUAUAUAUAUAUAUAUAUAUAUAUAUAUAUAUAUAUAUAUAUAUAUGAAAUAAAAUAUAUUCGAAUAUAAUUAAAAUAAUAAUAUUUUUUGGAAACUUUAAACUAAGAGUCUAUUGAAUAAUACAAUAUUUUUUUGGGUUAUAGAUAGUUUUUUUACUAAAGUAUGAAACUUUUUACAAUUAUUUGAUGACAUAUAUUUGAAGAAUAUAAUUAAUUAUAAUUCUGUAAAGUUAGAAAGGGUUUAAGUAUUUCAUUGAAAGGGAAAAGAAAUCAAGUAAUAUAUAGUAAGGUACGUCAUGGAAUAAUUUCAGUAAUUAGAAAAUAUAGAUUUUAAAUAAGGCAAAGACAUGGUUGUAUAAAACGGUCACUUCCUUUUUGGAUAAUUCGGUUUAUAAUUAGUAUUUAGAAUAUUUGAUAAUUUUACAUCUAAAUAUAAUCAAUAUUUUUAGGUAUACAAAAUGUAUUUUGGAUAUUUGGAUAUCCAUUCGAUUAGCGGUCUUAUUUCGGUCCAUGAGUGAAGCACUUUGAUUUGAAUCCGCCAAAAAGUUUUAAAAGGUUUAAUCUUGCUAAGAAAAUUUAAUUUUACGACUGAUUUAGUCUUUUUUUUUUGUUAUUUGUGGUGAAUGCUUUUGUCAAGCUGUUGAUGAAUGUAGUUUUAUACCAUCUUGUUGUUAAAAAAAAAAGUUUUAUACCAUCUAAUACCAUUUCAGCAUAUUCGUCAGUUUGUUAUAAACUAACGAUUUGUUUUGUUUCUGUUUCACAAAAGUUGAUUUGUGGAAAAUUGAGAACUAUAAUGAUUGGGCGCUAGUUUUUAUGCUAUAAUAUUUUAGAUAUUAAGGUUUACGAUUUUUUAUUUUUCUAAUUUCUAUUGUUUAUUAUUGAUUUGAAAAAAAAAUUGCAACUACGAUAACAACCGGCACAGUAUUUGAAUAGUUAAAAAAGAAAUUGGUAUAAUAAUAAAUUUGUUAUUAAGCAUAUAUAUUUAAAAAAAAACACUUCGACUUUAAUUUAACAGUUAUCUCUAAUUCUGUUUUUAUGCUUUAUUUUCAAUAGAUGAGGGGUAAAAAUAAAAUAAAAAUUAAUGAUUUGAGGUUUAGGGUAUUGUGGAUUAGGGAUCAUAUAUGUUAGGAACGUAUAAUUAUGAAUACUGCCAAAAUACAUUAUAUCAGACUUUAUGUAUAUAUAUUACAUGUCAAUUUGAAAAUCUUGUAUGUUAUUAGAUGGUGUAAGUUUCAAUACGUAAAACCCACACAACACCAUAUACUUCAAAAAAAAAAAACAUAUGGUUUAUGAUUGGUUAUGUUAAUAGAAAUAAUAUAGUUAGAUUUUUUUUUUAGUAUAGAGAAAUAAUAUAAGAUUAGUUAGGUUACGAUAGCUUUAAUGAUUUAAUAGAUUAGUUUGUUGGAAGAGAAGAUUUUGUGGAAUAAGUAAAUAAUGCUUUAAUAAUUUAAUUAAAAUCAUAGUUUAAAAAUAAUCUAGUGGCAUUGUCUUGUAAAUAUUGUUGAAACAGGAGGGCACCUCAAAAAAGGGUCUUCUGUUUUAAUAGUAUUGAUAUAUGAGACUUUUAAGAUUUUUUUAAAAAGUCUUUAAUGCUUUUAAAGCUUUUUUUUUUCUAAACAAUGCUUUUAAAGCUAUAUCACCAAUUACAACCUAUAAAACCUGAUUUUUUAUUUACAGCCAGAAAAAUUUCUACAAUAUUAAAAGCCUAAAGCAAAAAGUCAUUACCAAGCACAACCUUAAUUUUAAUCUAAUCUAAACAGUAAAACCAAAAAUCAAAAGUUACCAUCACGAGAAUGGUGAAAGCUAACGUAGCCAUAGCUAGAUUUCCUGGUGAUCGAAUAUCCGGAAACACGAGCAGAACUAACUUGACUUGCCUGGGAAAACGCAUCGAACAGAACAUAAUCUGUCACUGUCGGCUCAAUAUCACCGACGUACAGCAACAUAUACCCUGCUUCCGCCAUUUCAUAAAUGCUCGGUUCCCUCCACCACCACCACCAGUACGCCAUGUUUUUUUCUUGUAGUUCUUCUCUCUUCCUUCUCUUCUUUUUAUUCACUACGUACGAGUACGACGAACUCAACAAAGGAAAAGCCAAUGAUGCUUCAGCGAACGUUUCAUCUAUAUUUUUCUUGCUAACAAGAAGAAGUCAGAGGGAAGAUAAUCAGUCAAGGCCGGUCGUGGCUCCAUUAACUUUUUGGAAGAACAAUUCAUCUUUCUUGUUCUUUUUUUUUUUGAACACCACAUACUUAUAUUAAAUCCACUUUCGAAAUCUACGGUGGAGAAACCAGAGUAGCCGUACAGAGAGUAGCUUUUGCAAGUUGAUCAGCAGGAGAGUUUAACAAUCUCUCAACAUACUUAAAAGAAACAAAAACAAAUAGAGAGGAUAGAUGUUCGAUGUCCUGGAUGAUUCCGAGGAGUUCAGCCGGAAGCUACGAAGUGAUUGCUACUAAGAGCGAUUGACAAUCUGUAUUAAGACAGAUGCUUCGAAGUGAUUGCUGCUAAGAGCGAUUAACAAUCUCUCAUCUUUCUUGUUCUUAUAUAUCUCAAAUAAAAGCUUUGUCUACAAUAGAUUUCUCUUAAUAAUAAAAUAAAAUUACAAAUUAAAUGUACAGAUUUUCCAAAAAAUAAAUUAUUACAUAAACAUAUAUAUAUGCUAUAUAUUAAAAAGAAAAGAUAUAAAAAGUAAAUUUAACGAUGAUUCAAGAUAAAAUCUUACUACCGAAACGAACCAAACCAAAACUUUUGGGUUUUGGUUUGGUUAUUCAGGUUGAACCGAUCGACAUCAUUUUUCUGCUCUAUCCAACCAACGUUUAUAAUUUUAAUCACCUAACGUGAAUAAUUUAGUUUCUGCACAUAUUAAUUACUUAUCUUUCUGCCACUCACAUACUAAAGAAUAUAUGUCACUUUUUAAUAUUAGUACGACAAUCAUUUAGAAUAAGCCGUUGACGGAAGAAAAAUGAUAAGACCAACGAAGCUACACAUGUAUGCAACCACCCUUUGGCAUUACAAAAUGGACAUUUAAUUACAUUAAUAUUUUUUCAUUCUAACGAAUAAUUCAUUUUUAGAUUUUACUAAUUAUAUGCUCUAAAGCUGCCAACAAGAAUAAUACAUCUGCAUUGACUUCACAGCUUCACUUUUGCUCACACUCUUUCUAUAUAAUUAAUCUUUCUCUAAGCCAAUCCUCAAAGCUCGCAUCAAACCUUUCACCAAUGGCCCCAAAUUAUAACCAUUCCUCUUCUUUCAUCUUAUUGUUUCUGUCUCUUCACUUUCUUUCAAUUCUAGCCACAAGAAACAACCUCAUCACCGACAGAAACGCUCUUGAAAUCAUCAUCGGCGGCGGUGAAAGCUCCAAUGACUAUUCUCCUGCGCCGUCUCCGGAGCCAGAAGACUGUCCUCCACCGCCGCCUCCGGAGCCAGAAGACUGUCCUCCGCCUCCUCCUCCACCGCCACCUCCGCCACAGUUCUCUAGUCCACUAAUAGAGAAAGUGUAUCCAGUCAUCAAGAAGUUCCAAAACCUAGUCGAAAAUGAUCCAAAGAAGAUACUCAAAACAUGGGUAGGCACUGACAUUUGCGCCGAAGACAAGUACAUAGGGCUCGAGUGCGCAAAGUUCCCGGGAACAAACGAUCUCGCACUCGCGAGCAUCCAGUUCAACCAGUUUAACUUCGGAGGCAAGAAACUAAGGCUAGAUAACUUCCUCAACAAGUUAGAAGAAGUCACCAUCUUCCACGCAAACAGCAACAACUUCGUGGGCGCUGUUCCCGAAGUCAGCAACUUGAAGUACUUAUUCGAGCUUGAUCUCAGCAACAACAAGCUCUCCGGAGAGUUUCCAAGCUCUGUCUUAAAAGCAACCAACCUCACGUUCCUCGAUCUUAGAUUCAACUCUUUCUCCGGUUCUGUGCCUCCUCAGGUUUUCAAUCUUGACCUAGACGUCUUGUUCCUCAACCACAACAAUCUUGUUCAGAGACUCCCCGAGAAUCUCGGAUCCAUCACUGCUCUUUACCUCACAUUCGCUAACAACAGGUCACAAAAGCUCCACAAUUUAUUUAGUUUCAUUGAAUGAAAUCUAAAAGUGUUUCAAAAUAUGUGUUUAGUCGUUAGAAAUUUAAUUAGACAUUCUUCAUUAAAACAUUAAUUACUCUGUUUUGGUUUUUGUAGUAGGUUAGGUGUUAGGUCUAUAUAAAUUAAUUAUCUAAAGAGGUUCGUUGGACUUUCAUGUGACGUGAUGCAGAUUCACGGGUCCUAUUCCCGAAAGCAUAGGUGAUAUCAAGUCCCUACAAGAAGUCCUGUUCUUAAAUAAUAAGUUAACCGGUUGCUUACCAUACCAAAUCGGGAAGCUUAACCAAGCUACGGUUUUUGACGUCGAGUUUAACCAGCUAACCGGUCCGAUUCCAUACUCUUUCGGAUGCCUAGACAAGAUGGAACAGCUCAACUUGGCUAGAAACAAGUUCUACGGUACCAUACCGGAGAUCGUAUGCGAGCUCUCAGCACUCAAGAACGUUUCACUCUCGUUCAAUUACUUCACGCAGGUUGGUCCAAAAUGUAGAGAACUUAUCAAGAAGAAGAUUCUAGACGUUCGCAUGAACUGUAUUCUAGACCUUCCUUAUCAGAGAACGCCAUGGGAGUGCGCAAAAUUCUUCAUGCGAAAACAGAAGUGUCCUAAGUCCAAGUCUUUCUUUUACAUGCCUUGUGAUAAGGCCCCGCACCGGAUUAAACCGGAGCAAGAAGAGUUAGACGGUCAGGCUUCGCCACCAGUAUCGUACCGUGCUCUUAACCCGAACGGGAUUCGGAAUCUUUAGACAAAACCAAAUUGUUUUUUACGUAAUUAUGGAUAUUCAUGUUUAUUUUUAUAUUGCAAGUGUGAUUUGCUGAAUAAAUGCAAUGUGUGUAUUGUCAUUACAAGUAAAAUAAGUUUUGUCUUGAUCGUAUCGAGUUUAAUCGGGUUUGGUUCUUUGUGAACCGAAACCCGGAACAUAUAUUAGUUGGUAUAAAGUAACCCUCAAUGUCCAAAAAAUGAGAGAAGUGAGACAAAGGUUACAACAAACACAGAAAGCCCAAGUUGGGUCGGUUUGGUAGCAUCGGCUGUAAGUUUCGCAAUCAUCAUGAGUUUCGAAUCCAGUUUCGUCGGCUCUUCACGUUUCUCACACGUCCCAUACGGCAUGUUUUCCUACAUACACACACAAAAACGUUAACAUCUUCUAUGACAUGCAAAAUCCAUAUAGUGCGAAUAACGUGAAGAUCACAGGUUUGAAACCUUAUAAACCAUUAUAUUUUCAUAUUUACUUAUCUUCGAGGGACUAAUCUAACGGGUCAUAAAUAGGGUCCCCAAUUUUUUUUAUAGAUUUCUUACAUAAAAUAGGCUCCAGAUUAUGGGAAAAAAAAGAUUUUUAUAAAAGUUUUUCAAAAAAUAUUUGUGCCCCCAAAUUCUCAGAUCCAGCCUUGGUCAUAAGUUUGAUUUCUGUUAUGAAGGAUUUGCUCGCUUAAAUAAAGUUAAUUUAACAUGGCAUAGAUCUCGUCCUAUAAGAUAUUUUGGACUGAAAACCUUCUAGUCAUUCCAAAAAAAGAACCAUAGACUACUAACCUUACAAGCGGAUAUAUCGUCACAGCCGCAAAGUGAACGGCCGUUAGCAACAUCAACUGCUUUUGGAGCUCCUCCACCAUCGCUUCUCUAAACCACACACAUACAUAUUAACAUUAUUUAAACCGGAUCAAAUCUCACCAAACUCUAACCACAUUAUCUUACACACCUUGUAGAAAUCAACGGCAAUGAAGUUAGGCCAGCGUUGUCCAGAGGCUUCUUGACAUUUUUGUAUGGCGUCAAGAAGAGGAGCAGAGUUCUGUUUACAAGAUCCCAUCAAAUCCGCAGUAUCAGGAAAAUAGUUUACCAGAACUAGUGAUCUAGAUUGAUCUCCCAUAGCAGCUGACUCUGGUCUAUUGGUACACACUCCAGGCCUCAUGCCUCCAUUUCCAUCUAAAAACAUAACGUCAUAUCAGUUUUAAAUAAUAAUAAUAAUAAUAAUAUAAUGUAUCAAAUAUAUUAGGAAAAACUGUUUAGAGAUGGACUCACAUUGAUUCUCUACCAUGUAUUUCCAUAAAAAUGCGAAUCCUUCAGUAGCUUCUUUUUGAGGAUUUGACGUAAAAACCAGCAUCCGUUGGUUCUUAGUUAUCAUUUCAUCGAUGGUAGGCCAAUCUUCUCCGUUCUUAGGCAUACUUGUUACCGGAAACAUGAAAUUUCGUAACCCGGAUGCAUCAAACACUCUGCCUAAACCAUUGGGAGAUUUCACGUAGUCCUCGAUGAUAAGUGUCACAACCACAUCCUUGUUCUUGUCUAGAAACACUUGAAACUCGUGUAGAAUGUUAAGAGCCGGUUGCUACAUACGAACCAAAGACCAGAUUAAAAACAUUUUUGACAUUUGAACCGAUCGACUUAUGUGUGUGAAUCCAUGGAACUUACAAACGCUGUGUAGUUGAAGCAGUUUCCACCAUAAGAAUGGCAAAGCCAUAUAUCGUUCUGGAAGUCGUACAUGUCAAGCAUAAACCCUCUAACACCAUUCUGGAAACCCACAGAAUAAAAUAAAAGAUACAAUAAAAUUUAAAGAAAUUAACUUUUAAAAUGGGUUUAUCAAAAGAAUGAAGUACACUUCUUUUCUUUGAAGGAAAGAAUGAAAUAUUUUAAAUGAGUUUAUGAAGAAUAUUUACAAUAAGUUGGCUUGUGAUUGAAUCUUGUUGGUUGGAAGGAGCAAGAAUCAUAGAGCCUGUGCCUGAUCUUGCACCUAUUCGAGCAAAUGAAUUGUGUGUUGUCAACCACGUGUAUUUGUUGUAAGGCAACCCUUUCACCUUUAUCACAUAUAAACAUCAAUCAAUCGAUUAAUCAAAUACAUAUAUAUAUAUAUAUCAUCUAAAUGUUUAAACGAAAAGAGAGGAAACACAAAAAAAAAAAGAACAAACCUUAGAGGUGGGGUUAACGGUUUGCAUUCGGGAGCAUCUAGGUCGAAAAUUAUCGCUUGAGAGACACGAUUCGCAGUGUAGUCCCUGAUCACAAUUCUUGGUCACGAUGCAUGUUUCUCCUUCCUACCAAUCACACAAUGAUCAACAAUUUGUGAUACAUUCUUGAUGAGUUUGAGAAUACACUUUGUUACGAUUUUCCUUACCUUGAGGGCAGAGGAAGGGUUAAAGAUGAGAAAACAUGGAAUGAGAAGAACUGUUAGAAAGAAGGUGAGACUUUGAAACAUUGUCUUCUUUCUUGCUACAAAAUCCCAUAAAACUUUUGAAAAGAGAAAAAGAAUUAACCCCCCAAGGAUUUUGGGAAGAAGAAACUACUUUGUAAAAUACAAAAGAUUUUCAACUGGUUAUCUGCAUUUGCCAACAAAGAAGAAAAUAGAAACUUAGAAGUCUAAAUUUAUCUUUUUCUCUUGAGAAAAAGGUAAGAAGUUGCGGGUAUCUCGGAGACAAUGGUGAUAUUAAUAGCUAGCUACCAGAGGAGAAGAUGCUUCUUUUGGUUUCUCGUUUUGUAUUGAUGGCUUCAUGCUUUUUAUAUUCCAUUUUGCUAUAAGAAAUUCUUCUUUUGUUGUUUUUAAAAUAAUAUAUUUCACCCAAAAAAGGGAAAAAUAUAUGUGACCGCUAUCAUCAUCGUAUAACAAAAUAUCUAGUUAUAAAUAGCAUGCCAGCUACAUUUUUUAAAGUGCUUUAUUAAUCUUAUAAAAGUUACGUUUGUGCCGGUCCAAAUCUAUAGAAAAACAACCUCACAUGAGGGAUAACAAUACUAUACGACAUGAUAUCUGUAUUUUUUAAUAAUAUAUACUUUCAUAUUAAUCAUUAUCUUGUAAAUGACAUAUACAAUGUCCCGCAUGUUAACAUUUAUAGGUGUUUGAUGAUGAAGAGCAUAAGAGAAUUAAUAAUAAACUAGAAGGUGGCAGUAUCUUCAUCUGAUCAAGAUAAAUUUGAACUGACGUCUUCGAAGAUCCGCCCGCUACAACAUAGUUUACAUGGAUUCAGAGGAUGGAUACUACUAGUAUACAGUAUACUACUCCUUCUCUUCCACGAUAUAAAAUGUUUUUAAAAAAAUAAUAAUGUUCCAUAAUAUAAGAUAUUUUGAUAUUUUAAAAAUAUUUUAAUUUUAUUAAAAAUUAGUUGACCAAAAACAUUUUAUUACAUUAUUUAUGAUUGGCUAAGUUAUUCUAAAUUUAUAUUAUUAAUAAUAUUAGUUUCUAAAAUGUAAGUUUUUUAAUCCUCAUGAUUUUAAGCAAAACAUUCUAUAUUAUGGAACUGAAGGAGUAUAAAAAAGGGGAUCUCGAAAAAUCUGUAUGUCAUGUGACUAUCAGCAAUGGGCCUGUUGAAUAAAUUAUUCAACAGCUUAAACCAAUGUAAUGCAGGUGUUGAAUUGAAAAAAAUCAUACCUGGAUUCACAAGUGUUAAUUUUUUUCAACUAGUUGAAUCCAAAUAAUUUGACCCCACUCUUACACAUCUUUUAGGGGUGGACAUUUUACCUGAUACCUGAACUCGUAUCCGAACCUGACCUAAAAAACUGGACCGAAUUCCAAACCGAAAUAGCAAAAUACUCGAACGGAUAUUGAUUUAUGAGAGAUUUGAUAUCCGAAACCGAAUGGAUAUCCGAAGAUAACCGAACAUAUGUAUACUUACCCUUAUAUUUCUUGUUUACAUCUUUCAUUUUAUUUAAAAUAUUUAUAUUGAUGUUACACAUACUUUAAGAUCAUACAAUAUACAUAUAAUUACAGAGAAAAUGAUUUGUCAAUCAAUUAAAAUACAUUUCAAGUUUUUUUAUUUCAUGUAUUAACAAAACAUUCAAAAUUUCAAAACAAUAGCUAAAUUAAUGUUCAUUUAUUUUUGAAAUGAUAUCUACAAAUCUAACAAUCAUUUAAUUUAUUAAAAAUAAAAAAAUCAUUUAAGUGAAAUCUAUAUUUUCAAAUAGAAUAAACCUAAAAAUAAAAAAUAUAAUUUCUUUUUUUUUCAAAAUCUCAAUAUUCGAAUCCGACCCAAAAUAACCGAGCCCGAACUAAAAAUACCCAAACUUGACCUGAAGUAUAAAAAUACCCGAACGAAUUUUGUACGCCUAUACCAAAAUACCAGAAAAUUCUAAAUACCCGACCCGAACCCGAACGGGCAUCUGAACGUCCACCCCUAACAUAUUAUAUUAUUAUUGGUUAUCUAGUUUUUGUUCUUUUUUUUUCACCCAAUAACUUAAACUUAAUUAAUUUAUAGUAAAACACUUUAUUUAAAAAUAAAAAUUAUACCAAAAUUUAACAUUUUUGAAGAUCUAUAAAUAGAGACUAGUUUCAUUUCAUUUAGAUAUAGAAUAAAAAUUUAAUUUUUCUUAUAAUUUCUAUGUUUUAUUAAUAACUAGAUAUGAGCCCGUUGCAUUGUAACGGAUUUUUGUUUGAUGUUUUAAUUUAUUAAAAACAUAAAAUAAUAUAUCAUUUUAUUAUAGUAUUAUGAUUGUUUUUUGCAUAUGUUGUUUGAGAUUUAUUUUAUAAUUAAAACAUUUUCACACAUAAGUUCAAGUUAAAAUUUGCAUUUUAUAAUUAUGGUGCAUAGAUUAGUUGUUAUAAAAUUUAUACUAAGGAUUGGAGAAAAUACUAUACAUAAACAUUUAAAAUGAACCCAAUCUGAAAAUAAAAAAUGAAAAGUAAAAACGAAAUGAAAGUUAAGUAUACCAAUCGAAUCAAUGAAAACAUUAUACGUGUUCUUAUGUACUAAUUUAAUGUUUUAUUAAAUAAGUCUUUAAAAUUUUAUUUUGCUAGGAUUUUUUUUUAAAAGAAAACAUUAAAUUUUAUAAAUAUCCUUUAUAUUUACAAUUAAAAAAAUAUUAAAUACUCUUUUACAUUUUGUUUAAGAUUUUAGAAAAGGUAAAUUUCUGUCAUAUAACCUAUUACAAUUAUUUUCUCUUUAGAAUUUCAUAAAAAAAAAUAUUGCUAUCAAAUAAUUUAUUUUAGUUAUUAAUAAAUAUUUUUCAAAUUGCUAUUUUUACAUUUCGUAUCAAUACUAAUUUUACAAUUCUUUUGUUAAUUAAAUAAUUUUUAGUAUCAUGUUCAUCAUCAAACACUCUCUUAAAAAUAAUAUCAAAUAAAGUUUUACAAUUCAUUUUUGGUUAGGACUUAAAAAUAUUAUACAAAUUUCUUUUAUUUAGGAUUUUAUUUAUAAAAAAAACUACUAUCAAAUAUUCUCUUACAGUUUUGUAGGAUUUUAGAAAAGGAAAUUAAUAUUACAUAAUAUUUUACUAUUAUAUUUUGUCUAGGGUUUAAAAAAAACAUUUCUUUCAAAUAACUAUUUACAGUUAAUAUUAACUAUUUUUAAAUGUUGCAAUUUUCAAAAAUCCUUUUUUUAAAUAUCAUUAAUAUUUUUACAAUUUUUCUUGUAAAUUGAAUAAUUGUUACUAUCAUGUUUAUCAUUAGAUUUUGAAGUAAAAAUUACUGUUAAAUAAAAUUUUACAAUUCUCUCUAGUCACGAUUUGGACCUGUGUGUUGCAACGGACUUUGUUUGAUAUUUUAAUUUAAUAUAAGAAAUUUAAAAAUUAUUUUGUUAUAGUUUUAAAUAUGAAUAACUGUAGUUCCUUUUGGUUUAUGAUCUUUUUAAUUAGGAUUUGAAUAAAGGAAAAUUAACAUUAAACACUCUUUUACAAUUUUUUGGUUUAAAAGUUUAAAAGAGGAUAAUUACUAUUAACAUUUUUUACAGUUAUCUUUUCUUUAUGAUUUUAGAAAAAGAAAAUCAGUAUUAAAUAAAUUAUUUGUACAAAUCGUUUUUGGUAUAGGGUUUGUAAAAACGAAAAUUACUAUUACUGUUUUCAGAAAAAUCGGAUUUUAAUAUAGGAAAAUUAAAAGUAAACACUCUUUUACAAUUAUUUGGCUUAAGAAUUUAAAAAGGAUAAUUACUAUCAAUUUUUUUUACAGUUAUCUUUUAUUUAUUAUUUUAGAAAAGGAAAAUUAUUUGUACAAAUAGUUUUUGGUUUAUGAAUUUAGUAAAGGAAAAUUAGUAUUAAAUAAAUUAUUUGUACAAAUCAUUUUUGGUAUAGGAUUUGUAAAAACGAAAAUUACUAUUAUUGUUUUUCUGAAAACCGUGUUAAUGUGUGAAUAUAGUUUUUUUUUGGUUUAUGAUAGAAAAAAAAGAAAUGUAUUAACACAUGUCACAACCUUAAUUAUAUAAAAUUAUAUAACUGUCAUGUGUCGGGAUCGUGUUAAUUAACAACUUUGAAAAAACCAAUAAAACAAAAUUAACAUUAAGCAUUCUUCUACAAUUUUUUUGGUUUAAGAUAUUUAAAAAGGAUAAUUACUAUCAAAUUUUUGUUUUACAAUUAUCUUUUUUUUAUAUGAUUUUAGAAAAAAAACAGUAUUAAAACAUGUUACAAUCUUAAUUAUAUAACUGCCAUGUAUCACGAUCUUGUUAAUUAGCAACUUCUUAAUUAACAUUAAGCAUUCUUCUACAAUUUUUUUGGUUUAAGAUAUUUAAAAAGGAUAAUUACUAUCAAAUUUUUGUUUUACAAUUAUCUUUUUUUUUUAUGAUUUUAGAAAAAAAACAGUAUUAACACAUGUUACAAUCUUAAUUAUAUAACUGCCAUGUGUCACGAUCUUUUUAAUUAGCAACUUUGAAGAACCAAGCUUUAUAUAAUAAGAUAAUAAUUUUCUGAAUUCAAUUACGUCGUUGUAUAUUUGUUUAAAAAUAUUAUUUUAAUAUUAUUUUCGAAAAAUAGUAAAGAAUAUAAAUAUAAAUAAAUUAAAAUGGAAAUAUAAAGAAUAUUAUUUUCAAAAAUUAGUAAAGAAUACAAAUAUAAAUAUUUGUUUAAAAAUAUUAUUUUAUAUAUAGAUGUAUAUGAAGCACUGGAGAUUCCUCUACGACAUAGUUACUUAUUGCCUUGUUUGUUUCAGAGAAGCUGUUAUAUGUCUUAGGAUUAACAAAAACUAUGGUUUCUACUUGACAAAAUCAAGCGAAGACAUUAUAGCCACUUGGAAGAGUAGGAAAAAAGCUACAAAACAACAAACAAUUGCAAUCAUUAUGUUUAAUUAGGCUAUGCAUAUAUAAAGGUAGCAAGAAAAAUAAGGGGAGUAUUUUUCAUGUAGAUAAAGUUUAGUUUUUACAAAAAAGUAGAAAACAAUGCUUGUCUGAUAAGGGUCACACAUAAAAAGUUCUCAAAUCUCAAUAUAUUCGAUAACUAGAAGUUAGAACAAAGCAUAUAUUCAAUUAUUCAUGGGGGUGUUUUAAGCAAAUGAACGAACUUUGCGGCUAAAAACAUAAGAGAAUGGUAAAUUAGGGGUGUCUCUUGUGGUUUCGUCGUUUUCAUAAGUAACAAGAAAAAUAGGCAAAUCUGGGCUCUUCCUCAGUCUCAUUGUCACUAAAACAUUUCCUUCAACUGUCAUUCUCUCAGGCGACUCUUGCCAUUGACCUCUCUCUUUAGUAAAGUCUCUCUCUCUUUCUUCCCCCAUGGUGCUUCACAAGCAAGCUCUCUUGCUCACAUUCAUCUCAGUUCUUGGAUUCCAUCAACUGCCUUCACCAACAGAAGCAGGUUUGAUUCUUGAUUAGCAUUAUAAUCUUUCAAGACUUAGAUUAGGAGAGAGAGAGUUAACUACUAAUCCUAAUCUUGAUUUUCUUGAAAAAAGUUUUUAACCUUUGUGAGUUCUUUCACAGAAUGUCCACUGGACUUGACCUCAUCAAACUUCACUCUCGUCGCCUCCGUCUGCUCCACCAACGCCGACAGAGCCAAAUGCUGCCGCUACAUGAACGCCUUCGUCGCCGUAUCCGUCUCCCGCUACGCUAACCACACGGCGGAUCUCGGAGUGGCACCAGAGUUAACCUCCAUCUGCAUCACCACCAUCUCAAGAACCAUGGAGCUCUACGGCAUCCCAACUAACGCGACGCUCUUCUGCGGACUAGGGACCAAGAUCCUCGUCAGCUACGACUGCGAAGGUCUCACCACUGUUACUCAAAUGCUUCAGUCCCCAAAGUUUGGAGAUGUUUCAAGAAACUGCGAGCUGCCGUUUCGUUGCAAGAGCUGCUUGAACUCUGGUAUCACUUACAUUCGUAGUUUGGUGGAUAGAGGGAAUAACAUUAAGAUGAGUACUUGUAGGGAUGCGACCUACGCUGCUUUAGCUAGCCGUGUUGAUAGUAGUUCUGCUCUUGAGCUUGCUAGCUGCUUCUUUAACGUGUCUGAGCUUACCACCACUCCAGGUAUGUGUCAAGUUGUCAUUCAUAAAUCAUUGUUUUGUUUUUUUUUUCUGAGUUGUUUGAUGUCUUCUGCUCAGAGUUUCCAUUGAGUCCAGAAGCUUCUCCAGUUCCAGUGGUAGCUGAUAGUCCAAGUGGCAAUGAUGAUCUUGUUCUGUCUCCAAGAAGAAGUCACCAUGGUUAUCACUUGACGGUGGUUCCGGCUAUUGGGAUCGCUGUUACAGUGUUUUCUGUUAUGAUGCUCGCCGUGUUAAUAGUUCUUAUCCAAAGAAAGAAACGGGAGCUUGAUGAUGAUGACUCCGAGGGCAAGGAUCAUAAUCCAACGAAGACCCUCCCUAAAGUGAUGAUGAUUCAUGAAGGUGUGUAAAGUUCUUCUAGUGAGGUGUUUAGAGCACGUUUAAAGAAACAAACGUGUGGUUUGUUUUUUGUUUGCAGGUAGUUCGUUGGCUUUUAGGAAAUUUAGCUACAGGGAGAUAAGGAAAGCAACUAAAGAGUUCAGCAGUGUGAUUGGCAGUGGGGGGUUUGGGACUGUUCAUAGAGGUGAGUUUAGUAAUGGGUUGGUUGCAGCUGUGAAAAGGAUGAAGAGGAGCUCUGAACAAGCGGAUGAUGAGUUUUGCAGAGAGAUUGAGCUUCUAGCCAGGCUGCAUCACCGCCAUCUAGUUGCUUUGAAAGGCUUUUGUACUAAGAAGAACGAGAGGUUCCUUGUCUACGAGUAUAUGGCCAAUGGGAGCUUGACGGAUCAUCUACAUUGUAUGCUCAUGAUUUUCUUGUGCUAUGUUAUUGACUUUUGCUUCAGAAUCUUGAACCUUUGUUCUUCACUUCUGUGUAGCCACAGAGAAACCUCCACUUAGUUGGGCAACUAGGAUGAAAAUCGCAAUCGAUGUGGCUAAUGCUCUGGUAAAUUUCUAAAGCCUUCAUCAAACUGAUAUUAUAUGGUUCUUAUUACUGUUCUUGUCUGGAUAUUUUAUCUGUUCUUUCAGGAAUACCUUCAUCUAUACUGUGACCCACCUUUAUGUCACAGAGACAUAAAGUCAAGCAACAUAUUACUCGACGACAACUUUGUUGCUAAGGUGUGUCUCACAUAUCUUUCUCAUUGACUUGUCUGUUAGUUUCACCUAA